GACGUAGGUGGCGAACGUUAUCCGGAAUUAUUGGGCGUAAAGGGUGCGUAGAUGGUCUGCUAAGUUAGCAGUGGCAAAUCGGGGCUCAACCCCGCGGAAGUUGCUAAUACUGGCAGACUACGAGGACAGGAGAGGUUGACGGAACUCCCGGUGGAGCGGUGAAAUGCAUAGAUAUCGGGAAGAACACCAAAGAGGCGAAGGCAGUUAACUAUUCUGUUCCUGACAUUGAGGCACGAAAGCGUGGGGAGCAAAACGG
This 256-nucleotide ribosomal RNA is filed under the name uncultured bacterium. Its description in RNAcentral is "partial 16S ribosomal RNA". It matches the Rfam family "Bacterial small subunit ribosomal RNA", at positions 524 to 776 of the family's 1533-position model. The record is from RNAcentral.